CAUGCCUUACACAUGCAAGUCGAACGGUAACAGGUCUUCGGACGCUGACGAGUGGCGAACGGGUGAGUAAUACAUCGGAACGUGCCCAGUCGUGGGGGAUAACUACUCGAAAGAGUAGCUAAUACCGCAUACGAUCUGAGGAUGAAAGCGGGGGACCUUCGGGCCUCGCGCGAUUGGAGCGGCCGAUGGCAGAUUAGGUAGUUGGUGGGAUAAAAGCUUACCAAGCCGACGAUCUGUAGCUGGUCUGAGAGGACGACCAGCCACACUGGGACUGAGACACGGCCCAGACUCCUACGGGAGGCAGCAGUGGGGAAUUUUGGACAAUGGGCGAAAGCCUGAUCCAGCAAUGCCGCGUGCAGGAUGAAGGCCUUCGGGUUGUAAACUGCUUUUGUACGGAACGAAAAAGCUUCUCCUAAUACGAGAGGCCCAUGACGGUACCGUAAGAAUAAGCACCGGCUAACUACGUGCCAGCAGCCGCGGUAAUACGUAGGGUGCGAGCGUUAAUCGGAAUUACUGGGCGUAAAGCGUGCGCAGGCGGUUAUGUAAGACAGAUGUGAAAUCCCCGGGCUCAACCUGGGAACUGCAUUUGUGACUGCAUGGCUAGAGUACGGUAGAGGGGGAUGGAAUUCCGCGUGUAGCAGUGAAAUGCGUAGAUAUGCGGAGGAACACCGAUGGCGAAGGCAAUCCCCUGGACCUGUACUGACGCUCAUGCACGAAAGCGUGGGGAGCAAACAGGAUU
This 739-nucleotide ribosomal RNA is filed under the name uncultured organism. RNAcentral's name for it is "SSU rRNA". It matches the Rfam family "Bacterial small subunit ribosomal RNA", at positions 43 to 779 of the family's 1533-position model. The record is from RNAcentral.